CACAAUGGCAGGUGGACCUAUCAGUGAUUGCGUGCUUGUUUAUUCGGGAUGUGGAUGGCACUGCGGUCUAAACCACUGAGCCUCUUGGGCUUGCCGAUCAGAAGGGUGGCAGUUUGGAUCCCCGCAACAGGGAUAUCUAUAUGCGGUAUCUAUAGAAUGAGUGUGAAUUCGGUUCUUUCAAGGAGUUCAAAUUAUCCCUUGUCUGACUGACAAAGAAUUGUUUUUGUUCCAGGUGGCAGCACAUGGAUAAAUGACAGCUACGAUGCAAUUGUUGGGAAGUACAACUUUUAAAAAUUAUACUUCCUGCCUGCCUUGUACCUAUUACCAGAUGAUCAUUUUAACAUGUGUUGUGAAUCUCAAUACACAAGUAAAAGAAUUGGCA
Non-coding RNA from Podarcis lilfordi (Lilford's wall lizard), 382 nucleotides. The record is from the annotation of a GenBank genome assembly. NCBI's taxonomy places the organism in Eukaryota, Metazoa, Chordata, Lepidosauria, Squamata, Lacertidae.